GCUUUAUAGUUUAAAAAAAAACUUUAAUUUUGUAAAUUAAAAAUAAAUUAUAUUUUUAAAGCU
This 63-nucleotide transfer RNA is filed under the name Euceros kiushuensis. RNAcentral's name for it is "tRNA-Thr". The record is from RNAcentral. Lineage: Eukaryota; Metazoa; Arthropoda; Insecta; Hymenoptera; Ichneumonidae.